This is a non-coding RNA of Pelobates cultripes (western spadefoot toad), 674 nucleotides long. The record is from the annotation of a GenBank genome assembly. NCBI's taxonomy places the organism in Eukaryota, Metazoa, Chordata, Amphibia, Anura, Pelobatidae.
AUUACUUUAAAAAAAAAACAUUUUUUAUACACUACUCUUAGGGCUUCCAUCUGGCUGGAAUUUAUUUGAGGCUGCCUGGCCAGUGCCAAUAUUGCAGUAAUAACGGCAAUACAAACGACGGAAUUUUUCUCAGUAUAAACAGAGAUUACUCUGUAUUGUCAUCACCGGCCAGUGGGGGUCACUGUGUGUGUGGAGAGAGGCAGGGAUAGGAAGUUACAGCAUAUACCAGGAGGUAAAUUACAAGCUGCUAUCCCUCUGGUAUAGAACACCGACCGUAAUACAUCGUAUUUUCCCGGCAGUGCCACCAACGUGUUGUAGAUGCCAGGAGGACAGAGGCACACUACUACAUAUAUGGUGGGAAUGCCGUGACAUACUCCCAUAUUGGGACAUGGUAAAAACUAAGGUGACUCGGGUGCUGGGGGAUGUUCCAGAGUGGCCUGCAGAACUCGCCCUCCUAUAUAUCUCUCAACAAACGAUCUCGAGCUAUAAAAAAUCAAUACUUCGACACCUCUUGAAUGCGGCUAAAGCGUCAAUACCGGCCUACUGGAAAACAACCAACAUCCGAACGAAAAAGGAAUGGAUUCGGCGAGUUGAAGACAUACAGAGCGCGGAGGCACUUCAUGCCUCCCUAACAGGCAGAGAAACUAAACACGUGGAAAUGUGGCAACUGUGGU